CAGCAGCCGCGGUAAUACAGAGGGUGCGAGCGUUAAUCGGAUUUACUGGGCGUAAAGCGUGCGUAGGCGGCUUCUUAAGUCGGAUGUGAAAUCCCUGAGCUUAACUUAGGAAUUGCAUUCGAUACUGGGAAGCUAGAGUAUGGGAGAGGAUGGUAGAAUUCCAGGUGUAGCGGUGAAAUGCGUAGAGAUCUGGAGGAAUACCGAUGGCGAAGGCAGCCAUCUGGCCUAAUACUGACGCUGAGGUACGAAAGCAUGGGGAGCAAACAGGAUUAGAUACCCCGGUAGUCCCUGUCUCUUAUAU
This 301-nucleotide ribosomal RNA is filed under the name uncultured bacterium. RNAcentral describes it as "partial 16S ribosomal RNA". It matches the Rfam family "Bacterial small subunit ribosomal RNA", at positions 509 to 809 of the family's 1533-position model. The record is from RNAcentral.